GCCCAGAGUAAUUUGGAUUAAUACCUUAUAGUAUGAUGACUUGGCAUCAAGAGAUCAUUAAAGGUUACGGCAAAAGAUGAGCAUGCGUUCUAUUAGCUAGUUGGUCUGGUAACGGCAUACCAAGGCUACGAUAGAUAGGGGUCCUGAGAGGGAGAUCCCCCACACUGGUACUGAGACACGGACCAGACUCCUACGGGAGGCAGCAGUGAGGAAUAUUGGACAAUGGAGGCAACUCUGAUCCAGCCAUGCCGCGUGCAGGAAGACUGCCCUAUGGGUUGUAAACUGCUUUUAUAUAGGAAGAAACACCUCUACGUGUAGAGAUUUGACGGUAAUGUAAGAAUAAGGAGCGGCUAACUCCGUGCCAGCAGCCGCGGUAAUACGGAGGAUCCAAGCGUUAUCCGGAAUCAUUGGGUUUAAAGGGUCCGUAGGUCGAUAAUUAAGUCAGAGGUGAAAUCCUGCAGGUUAACUGUAGAUUUGCCUUUGAUACUUGUUGUCUUGAGUUAUUAUGAAGUGGUUAGAAUAUGUAGUGUAGCGGUGAAAUGCAUAGAUAUUACAUAGAAUACCAAUUGCGAGGGCAGAUCACUUAAUAAUAUACUGACAAUGAUGGACGAAAGCGUGGGGAGAGAACAGGAUUAGAUACCCUGGUAGUCCACGCCGUAAACGAUGGUCACCAGCUGUUCGGGUUUCGAUCUGAGUGGCUAAGCGAAAGUGAUAAGUGACCCACCUGGGGAGUACGUUCGCAAGAAUGAAA
Molecule: ribosomal RNA, 751 nt
Filed under: actinobacterium W072
Lineage: Bacteria; Bacillati; Actinomycetota; Actinomycetes
Description: bacterial SSU rRNA
Rfam family: Bacterial small subunit ribosomal RNA
Source: RNAcentral